UACGUAGGGAGCAAGCGUUGUCCGGAAUUACUGGGCGUAAAGGGUGCGUAGGCGGCGCAGUUAGUCAGAAGUGAAAUAUCGGGGCUUAACUCCGGGACUGCUUCUGAUACUGCUGUGCUCGAGUGCAGGAGAGGUAAGUGGAAUUCCUAGUGUAGCGGUGAAAUGCGUAGAUAUUAGGAGGAACACCAGUGGCGAAGGCGACUUACUGGACUGUAACUGACGCUGAGGCACGAAAGCGUGGGUAGCAA
Molecule: ribosomal RNA, 248 nt
Filed under: uncultured Christensenellaceae bacterium
Lineage: Bacteria; Bacillati; Bacillota; Clostridia; Christensenellales; Christensenellaceae
Description: partial 16S ribosomal RNA
Rfam family: Bacterial small subunit ribosomal RNA
Source: RNAcentral